UUGGAGGGCAAGUCUGGUGCCAGCAGCCGCGGUAAUUCCAGCUCCAAUAGCGUAUAUUAAAGUUGUUGCAGUUAAAAAGCUCGUAGUUGAAUUUCGGGAUCAAUAUGUUGGUCGUGCCUUGGUACGUACUAGUUUAUUGGUUUCUUCCUUCUGACGAACCAUGAUGUCAUUAAUUUGGUGUCUUGGGGAAUCAGGACUGUUACUUUGAAAAAAUUAGAGUGUUUAAAGCAGGCUCACGCUUGAAUACAUUAGCAUGGAAUGAUAAAAUAGGACGUUUGAUUCUAUUUUGUUGGUUUCUAGGAUCGACGUAAUGAUUAAUAGGGAUAGUUGGGGGCAUUAGUAUUCAAUUGUCAGAGGUGAAAUUCUUGGAUUUAUUGAAGACUAACUACUGCGAAAGCAUUUGCCAAGGAUGUUUUCAUUAAUCAAGAACGAAAGUUAGGGGAUCGAAGACGAUCAGAUACCGUCGUAGUCUUAACCAUAAACUAUGCCGACUAGGGAUCGGAUGAUGUUAAUUUUUUAAUGACUCAUUCGGCGCCUUACGGGAAAC
Molecule: ribosomal RNA, 547 nt
Filed under: uncultured Glomeraceae
Lineage: Eukaryota; Fungi; Glomeromycota; Glomeromycetes; Glomerales; Glomeraceae
Description: SSU rRNA
Rfam family: Eukaryotic small subunit ribosomal RNA
Source: RNAcentral